AACCAUAGAAACCUGCGGAGUACCUGCGGAAGGAUCAUUAAAAAAAAAUGAUGAAUGUCGGGGGACGUUUUGUUCCCUGUGUAUUCAACCAACCCGCUCUUGUAUUUGGAUCAACCAAAAACCUAAAAAAACAAAAAUUUAUAAUUAAUAAAAAAUAAACUUUCAACAACGGAUCU
This 176-nucleotide unclassified non-coding RNA is filed under the name soil metagenome. RNAcentral's name for it is "partial contains 5.8S ribosomal RNA, internal transcribed spacer 2, and large subunit ribosomal RNA". The record is from RNAcentral.